Salvelinus fontinalis (brook trout) is the source of this 1537-nucleotide long non-coding RNA. RefSeq lists it as uncharacterized. The transcript has 2 exons. Lineage: Eukaryota; Metazoa; Chordata; Actinopteri; Salmoniformes; Salmonidae. The record is from RefSeq and is a predicted model, not a curated record.
CUAUGCAAAAAUGUAGGCACAUUUUUACUUGCAGUUCCAGCGUAGUCUUGAAAGCAUUUAACUUUUGUCACCUUUCAUUAUGAGAAUACACCGACUUUCGUUGACUGCAUUAACUUUUGUGAUCAAAGGUCAUUAAGCUUUGACUGCAAAUUUCUGCAGUUCCUCUUCACCAACUUCCUCCUGCAUUGUGGGAGGCUCUAUUGUCAACCAAUCAUUUGACCUGAGCCCUAGGACCAUACGUCGGGACUACCGGCCGUGGUGACUCCUUGCUGCCCCCAGUCCGCCUGGCCUUGCUGCUAUUCCAGUUUCAACUCUUCUGCCUGCGGUUAUGGAACCCCUACCUGUCCCAGACCUGCUGUUUUCAACUCUUAAUGAUCGGCUAUGAAAAGCCAACUGAGAUUUAUUCCUGAUUAUUAUUUGACCAUGCUUGUCAUUUAUGAACAUUUUGAAAAUCUUGGCUCUCUCUAAUUUUCUCCUUCUCUCUUUCUUUCUCUCGGAGGACCUGGGCCCUAGGACCAUGCGUCGGGACUGCCGCCCGUGGUGACUCCUUGCUGUCCCCAGUCCGCCUGGCCUUGCUGCUAUUCCAGUUUCAGCUGUUCUGCCUGCGGUUAUGGAACCGCCACCUGUCCCAGACCUGUUGUUUUUCAACUCUUAAUGAUCAGCUAUGAAAAGCCAACUGAAAAUUAUUCAUGAUUAUUAUUUGACCAUGCUUGUCACUUAUGAACAUUUUUGAACAUCUUGGCAUAGUUCUGUUAUAAUCUCCACCCGGCACAGCCAGAAGAGGACUGGCCACCCCUCAUAGCCUGGUUCCUCUCUAGGUUUCUUCCUAGGUUUUGGCCUUUCUAGGGAGUUUUUCCUAGCCACCGUGCUUCUACACCUGCAUUCUAGCUGUUUGGGGUUUUAGGCUGGGUUUCUGUACAGCACUUCGAGAUAUUAUCUGAUGUACGAAGGGCUAUAUAAAAUAAAAUUGAUUGAUUGAUUGAACUGGAAACACUUAUCUCCCUCACUAGCUUUAAGCACCAGCUGUCAGAGCAGCUCAUAGAUUGCUGCACCUGUACAUAGCCCAUCUAUAAUUUAGCCCAAACAACUACCUCUUUACCUACUGUAUUUAUUUAUUUAUUUUGCUCCUUUGCACCCCAUUAUUUCUAUCUCUACUUUUUUCUAUCUCUACUAUCUCUACUUUUUUUUCUUUUUUUUACUUGCUAUAUUGUAUUUACUUCGCCACCAUGGCCUUUUUAUAUUUUUAUUUAUUUAUAUAUAUAUUUUGUUUGCCUUCACCUCCCUUAUCUCACCUCACUUGUUCAUAUUGUAUAUAGACUUAUUUUUCACUGUAUUAUUGACUGUAUGUUUGUUUUACUCCAUGUGUAACUAUGUGUUGUUGUAUGUGUCGAACUGCUUUGCUUUAUCUUGGCCAGGUCGCAAUUGUAAAUGAGAACGUGUUCUCAAUUUGCCUACCUGGUUAAAUAAAGGUGAAAUAAAUAAAUAAAAAAUUUGAUAGCAUGUUUCAAUCUAUGCAAAUAAAUUAUAUUAAUUGAUA